GAUGAACGCUGGCGGCGUGCCUAAUACAUGCAAGUCGAGCGAACAGAUAAGGAGCUUGCUCCUUUGAUGUUAGCGGCGGACGGGUGAGUAACACGUGGGUAACCUACCUAUAAGACUGGGAUAACUUCGGGAAACCGGAGCUAAUACCGGAUAAUAUUUAGAACCGCAUGGUUCUAAAGUGAAAGAUGGUUUUGCUAUCACUUAUAGAUGGAUCCGCGCCGUAUUAGCUAGUUGGUAAGGUAACGGCUUACCAAGGCGACGAUGCGUAGCCGACCUGAGAGGGUGAUCGGCCACACUGGAACUGAGACACGGUCCAGACUCCUACGGGAGGCAGCAGUAGGGAAUCUUCCGCAAUGGGCGAAAGCCUGACGGAGCAACGCCGCGUGAGUGAUGAAGGGUUUCGGAUCGUAAAACUCUGUUAUUAGGGAAGAACAAAUGUGUAAGUAACUGUGCACAUCUUGACGGUACCUAAUCAGAAAGCCACGGCUAACUACGUG
Molecule: ribosomal RNA, 497 nt
Filed under: uncultured bacterium
Lineage: Bacteria
Description: partial 16S ribosomal RNA
Rfam family: Bacterial small subunit ribosomal RNA
Source: RNAcentral